GAUGAACGCUAGCGGCAGGCUUAACACAUGCAAGUCGAGGGGUAUAGUUCUUCGGAAUUAGAGACCGGCGCACGGGUGCGUAACGCGUAUGCAAUCUACCUUUCACAGAGGGAUAGCCCCAGAGAAAUUUGGAUUAAUACCUCAUAGUAUAGCAGUUUCGCAUGAAACCACUAUUAAAGUCACAACGGUGAAAGAUGAGCAUGCGUCCCAUUAGCUAGUUGGUAAGGUAACGGCUUACCAAGGCAACGAUGGGUAGGGGUCCUGAGAGGGAGAUCCCCCACACUGGUACUGAGACACGGACCAGACUCCUACGGGAGGCAGCAGUGAGGAAUAUUGGACAAUGGGCGCAAGCCUGAUCCAGCCAUUCCGCGUGCAGGAUGAAGGCCCUCGGGUUGUAAACUGCUUUUGUACGGACGAAAGGUUCUAUAAUACUAGGAGCUCAUGACGGUACCGUAAGAAUAAGCACCGGCUAACUACGUGCCAGCAGCCGCGGUAAAG
Molecule: ribosomal RNA, 498 nt
Filed under: uncultured bacterium
Lineage: Bacteria
Description: bacterial SSU rRNA
Rfam family: Bacterial small subunit ribosomal RNA
Source: RNAcentral